UACGUAGGGAGCGAGCGUUGUCCGGAUUCAUUGGGCGUAAAGAGCUCGUAGGCGGCUUGGUAAGUCGGAUGUGAAACCUCCAGGCUCAACCUGGAGUCGCCAUCCGAUACUGCUAUGGCUAGAGUCCGGUAGGGGCCCACGGAAUUCCUGGUGUAGCGGUGAAAUGCGCAGAUAUCAGGAGGAACACCGAUGGCGAAGGCAGUGGGCUGGGACGGUACUGACGCUGAGACGCGAAAGCGUGGGGAGUAAACAGG
Molecule: ribosomal RNA, 254 nt
Filed under: uncultured bacterium
Lineage: Bacteria
Description: partial 16S ribosomal RNA
Rfam family: Bacterial small subunit ribosomal RNA
Source: RNAcentral